GAUGAAGAACGUAGUGAAAUGCGAUACUUGGUGUGAAUUGCAGAAUCCCGUGAACCAUCGAGUCUUUGAACGCAAGUUGCGCCCGAAGCCAUCAGGUUGAGGGCACGUCUGCCUGGGCGUCACAUAUCGUUGCCCAAUGCCUAUUGCAGUGCAAUAGGAAUUUCUAGGGCGAAUGAUGGCUUCCCGUGAGCGUUGUUGCCUCGCGGUUGGUUGAAAAUCGAGUCCUUGGCAGGGUGUGCCAUGGUAGAUGGUGGUCGAGUUAGAACGCUACCGAUCAUGUGCAUGCUCCCCAAAAUAUGGCCUCUAUGACCCACACGCGUCUUUUGACGCUCAUGACGAGACCUCAGGUCAGGCGGGGCUACCCGCUGAAUUUAAGCAUAUCAAUAAGCGGAGGA
Molecule: unclassified non-coding RNA, 395 nt
Filed under: soil metagenome
Description: partial contains 5.8S ribosomal RNA, internal transcribed spacer 2, and large subunit ribosomal RNA
Rfam family: 5.8S ribosomal RNA (bases 1-122)
Source: RNAcentral